UACGGAGGAUGCGAGUGUUAUCCGGAAUCACUGGGCGUAAAGCGUCUGUAGGUUGCUUGCUAAGUCUGCUGUUAAAGCUUGAAGCUUAACUUCAAAAAUGCAGCGGAAACUAGUAGGCUUGAGUGUGGUAGGGGUAGAGGGAAUUUCCAGUGAAGUGGUGAAAUGCGUAGAUAUUGGAAAGACCACCAAUGGCGAAGGCACUCUACUGGGCCACUACUGACACUGAGAGACGAAAGUUAGGGGAGCAAAUGGG
Molecule: ribosomal RNA, 253 nt
Filed under: uncultured bacterium
Lineage: Bacteria
Description: partial 16S ribosomal RNA
Rfam family: Bacterial small subunit ribosomal RNA
Source: RNAcentral